UUUGUAGAAUGAACCGGCGAGUUACGAUUUGUUGCAAGGUUAAGCGGAAAAAGCGGAGCCGUAGCGAAAGCGAGUCUGAAUAGGGCGCAUAAGUAACAGGUCGUAGACCCGAAACCAGGUGAUCUACCCAUGUCCAGGAUGAAGGUAAGGUAAUACUUACUGGAGGUCCGAACCCACGCACGUUGAAAAGUGCGGGGAUGAGGUGUGGGUAGCGGAGAAAUUCCAAUCGAACUUGGAGAUAGCUGGUUCUCUCCGAAAUAGCUUUAGGGCUAGCCUCGAGGUAAAGAGUCAUGGAGGUAGAGCACUGUUUGGACUAGGGGCCCUUCUCGGGUUACCGAAUUCAGAUAAACUCCGAAUGCCAUGUACUUAUACUCGGGAGUCAGACUGCGAGUGAUAAGAUCCGUAGUCGAAAGGGAAACAGCCCAGACCACCAGUUAAGGUCCCCAAAUAUAUGUUAAGUGGAAAAGGAUGUGGGGUUGCUUAGACAACCAGGAUGUUGGCUUAGAAGCAGCCACCAUUGAAAGAGUGCGUAAUAGCUCACUGGUCGAGUGACCCCGCGCCGAAAAUGUACCGGGGCUAAACAUAUUAC
This 589-nucleotide ribosomal RNA is filed under the name Listeria monocytogenes. Its description in RNAcentral is "partial 23S ribosomal RNA". It matches the Rfam family "Bacterial large subunit ribosomal RNA", at positions 607 to 1194 of the family's 2925-position model. The record is from RNAcentral. Lineage: Bacteria; Bacillati; Bacillota; Bacilli; Caryophanales; Listeriaceae.